GAUGAAGAACGCAGCGAGAUGCGAUACGUAAUGUGAAUUGCAAAUUCAGUGAAUCAUCGAGUCUUUGAACGCACAUUGCGCCCCCUGGUAUUCCGGGGGGCAUGCCUGUCCGAGCGUCAUUGCUGCCCUCAAGCACGGCUUGUGUGUUGGGCCCCGUCCUCCGAUCCCGGGGGACGGGCCCGAAAGGCAGCGGCGGCACCGCGUCCGGUCCUCGAGCGUAUGGGGCUUUGUCACCCGCUCUGUAGGCCCGGCCGGCGCUUGCCGAUCAACCCAAAUUUUUAUCCAGGUUGACCUCGGAUCAGGUAGGGAUACCCGCUGAACUUAAGCAUAUCAAUAAGCGGAGGA
RNAcentral lists this unclassified non-coding RNA (345 nucleotides) under soil metagenome. RNAcentral describes it as "partial contains 5.8S ribosomal RNA, internal transcribed spacer 2, and large subunit ribosomal RNA". The stretch from base 1 to 119 matches the Rfam family "5.8S ribosomal RNA", at positions 35 to 154 of the family's 154-position model. The record is from RNAcentral.